GGGCAUGCGCGGACGGCGGCGGGCGGGAGGACGCCGAUGUCAACAAGGCCCGGGGACGCUCCAUCCGGCGCCGCCCCUCGGGUCGCCCCGCCCCCAGACCCAAACCACGCGAGGUCUCGAGGGUCCCGGGACGCGGCUUCAGAAAGAGGAAGCCCGGGAAACCGGUUUCCGCGUUGCAGCUGCUAUCCAGCGCUCCCUGGCCGGUCCCAGAACCGAGACCUGGGCGCUAGGUGCAGCUGCUCUGCGGUGCCCGCUGCUGUGUGGGCGCCUGUACGUCAGUCAGGGCAGGCGGCGCCGGGAGCGGACCGAGGGCUGCCCGGCGGAAGGGCUCUGUCCGCGGCUGCGGGCCUUAAGAACGUGCGGGCCGCCUCCGUUGUGGGCCUCCCGGUGAGCAGCUAUUUGGGGCGCUCGGGAUGUCGCGCUGACCGUGUACGGAACCGUUUAAGUCAGAUGCUGUUGGCGGAGAACCUGCGAGAGCGCAGGCGAGCAGAGCAGUUGCUGUCCCGUUUGCUAUAUUUGCAGCGGACGGAGCAUGAAUGCAGGCCCGGCGGCCGCCCUCCCGGGUCUCCUGCAGGAUCGCUCCAUCUGCGGCGCCCGGCCCCAGGUCCCAGCUGUGACGGGCCCACGUGGCAGUCUCGCAAGGUUCGCUUUCUGCCGUACCAAGCAGGAAUUUCAGCACCCGAAAAUCUCCUACAUGGGCUAGGCAGAUUCUUCACCAUCUGAGCCACCAGGGAAGCCCAGAGCUCCCUCAGCCCUCCUGCCUGCCAUGUGAGGACACAAAGAAGAUGGCAGUCUGAAUCCAGAACUGCACCUCAUUUGCUGUGAGCAUCCGAGCGUGGCAGCCGCCCUGAAGUUCAUCAUCAGAUCCUACUCACCCAGGGAUUCAUCUAUAAUGGUCCCUGGAAAGGCUUUUAUAAUUUGCAUUUUUCAAUUGUAUCAAAGUCACAUGUGUCAUGAUGAAUAAAAGCCAAAUCUUGCUAUAGAACUGAAACCAUCAACAGUUCCUUCACCCAUCCUUCCUUAUCCCUGACCCACUCUCCUCACUACUCCUUUAAAAAUGCUUAGGACGCUCAUUUCUUUUUCUAAAGUCACAGGUUAACUGCUGUGUCACAUGCGGACACUCUUCUCCUCUUCGAACAGCAGAUGUGGAGAUGGUUCACUUACCUCACUGCUCCUGCUCCCCUGCGUUUACCCUUUUGCAUUUAUGUCUCCUACUACCAUUUCCGUCUUUAGGAC
Molecule: long non-coding RNA, 1236 nt
Organism: Bos taurus (domestic cattle)
Lineage: Eukaryota; Metazoa; Chordata; Mammalia; Artiodactyla; Bovidae
Source: Ensembl